GUGAUCUGUCUGCUUAAUUGCGUUUCACUAAGGGCCCAUAAAUUCAAGGUAUGUUAGCUAUCUGUCGCUCCAUGGACCCCUUAACCGAGUUAAAUCGAGUUAAGCGCGCGUCCUUAUUUAAAGAGUUUAAGACAUUGCGCAUGCUGUUGGGCUCUGAAAGCAACGAACGUGACCGCAACGUCUUGUUGCCUUAAUAAAGCAAGUUGUGUUAAUAGCAAUAUUAACCGAUUGCUUACAGAGGCUAUUUAAAACUAGACGGACCGCUGUUUCUUUUCUUAAACCAGAGGAAGGUUGCGGCAAUAACAGGUCUGUGAUGCCCUUAGAUGUUCCGGGCUGCACACGUGCUACAAUGAUCAGUACAGUGAGCAUCUCAAUAUAAUACACCGUCUUUAGCGCUUAGACGCGAUUAUCGGCUUACUUUUUAUUAAGGAGGUCUGUUUAAUCGAUGUUUUCUAAUGUGCGCGGUAAAGCCUGCUUCGAGAGUAAGCGGGUAAUCCAUUGGAAGUAAUGAUUUCUCUAUAUCUAGUGCACAACUAUGCACGGCACUCAUUCCCGAGACGGCUAAUUUCGUCUUUUAGUGUGAAUGUGGUGUUAUUCAAACGUGCGUGCAACUGUCAAUUCAUGGUGGGGACAGACCAUUGUUAACUGUUGGUCUCGGUCUUAACUAGGAAUGCCUUGUACGGGUCUUUGGUUCAACAAACCACCCGGAAUACGUCCCUGCCCUUUGUACACACCGCCCGUCGCUCUUACCGAUGGACUUUUUUGUGAGUCUAAGGGACUGGGUUAAACCGUUCGUUUAUUCGGAUGGCAGUACCUAUGGAAACUUAUGCGAACAAAGUGGUCUAAAGGAAAGAGAAGUCGUAACAAGACAACAGUAGGUGAACCUGCAGAA
This 892-nucleotide ribosomal RNA is filed under the name Neogloboquadrina pachyderma. Its description in RNAcentral is "bacterial SSU rRNA". It matches the Rfam family "Eukaryotic small subunit ribosomal RNA", at positions 1306 to 1822 of the family's 1831-position model. The record is from RNAcentral. Lineage: Eukaryota; Foraminifera; Rotaliida; Globorotaliidae.